CUGCUUAUUUAAAUUCUUUUUAAAUGGUAAUGUAAACUUUAGUCAUGAUCCAAGAGUUCUGGCACAGAACAAUAUUAACCUUCUCAGAUAUGAAAAGGGCAAACCUCGAGUAGUCAGCAUCUCUGGUAUCUGAGUCCUGCAGCUAGGAACUCUGGGAGGAUAUGAGAAGCUUCUCUGUGAGGAAAGGUAAUCUCAUCUCACAGAAAAGGAUGAGGUAGUCUUCACCUACUAAUCAACAUCCAACUUGAGACAAUGAUGAUAUCAAUUCAAUAGUUUUCAAAUUCAAUGAAUAGAAUACUUACUGGUUAAAUAUUAGAGGCUCUGAUUAAGGUAAAAAUCCAUACCAGGGUACUUACUCAAACUCCUGCAUUAUUCAGGAAGUCCUAACCAAAUCAAUAAGAAAAUGAAAAAAAAAAAAGAGAAUUAUUUGCCAGUUUAAUUGAUUAAAUGGAAAACCCAAAAUAAUCUACAGAAAAUCUGCUAGAAAUAGAAGUCCAGCAGAAUUGACAAAUAUUUUAAAAUAUUUGUAAAUUUUAAAAUCAAUAGAAUUCCUGUGUUCCAUCAAAAACAAAUAGAAAUGAAAGAGAAAUAAAAUAUUCCAUUCCAAUAAAAAAUACAAUUGAUUAGAAGACUAGGACCAGACCAGACAAAAAGGGGCAAAAUCCUUUUUGAGAACUUCAUAAAAGAUUAACAUUAAACAGAUACAUGAGGUGGGAUGGAAAGGGAGAGAAAAGGGAAAUUGCAUGGUAAUGGAGGGAGACCCUCAUUGUUAUACAAAAUUACAUAUAAGAGGUUGUGAGGGGAAUGGGAAAAUAAACAAGGAGAGAUAUGAAUUACAGUGUAUGGGGUAGAGAG
Molecule: long non-coding RNA, 855 nt
Filed under: Marmota monax (woodchuck)
Lineage: Eukaryota; Metazoa; Chordata; Mammalia; Rodentia; Sciuridae
Source: RNAcentral